UGGAAGUGCAAGAUGUCAAGAAGCACCAUGACGUUAUGGGUGUAUUUCAUCUGGCUCCUCUUCUCCAUGGUGGAAGAAUCCAGUGGGGACAUCGUUAUAACACAGACUCCGGCUUCUGUGACGGCACUUCCAGGAGAGACGGUCACCAUCCAGUGCAAGGCCUCCAGCUCCAUGAGUGAUGAUAUGGCCUUAUUGCUGUUCAAAUCUGGACAAACUCCCAAGCUCCUCAUUCAUGAUGGAAACAACCGUGUCACUGGGGUCCCCGACCGGUUCAGUGGCAGCUACAGCGGCACCGACUUCACAUUCACCAUCCGCGGGGUGCAGGUGGAAGAUGCUGGUGACUACUACUGUGGGCAGGACAACAGCUUCCCUCUCACAGUGAUACACUGCAGUACAAAAACCUCCUUGAUGCCAAAGCAUCCGGUGUGUGAAGCAGAAGGAAGCAGGGGAGGCUGCUUCUGA
Molecule: non-coding RNA, 462 nt
Organism: Alligator sinensis (Chinese alligator)
Lineage: Eukaryota; Metazoa; Chordata; Crocodylia; Alligatoridae
Source: the annotation of a RefSeq genome assembly